GUUGAACGCUGGCGGCAGGCCUAACACAUGCAAGUCGAGCGGAUGAAGGGAGCUUGCUCCUGGAUUCAGCGGCGGACGGGUGAGUAAUGCCUAGGAAUCUGCCUGGUAGUGGGGGAUAACGUCCGGAAACGGGCGCUAAUACCGCAUACGUCCUGAGGGAGAAAGUGGGGGAUCUUCGGACCUCACGCUAUCAGAUGAGCCUAGGUCGGAUUAGCUAGUUGGUGGGGUAAAGGCCUACCAAGGCGACGAUCCGUAACUGGUCUGAGAGGAUGAUCAGUCACACUGGAACUGAGACGCGGUCCAGACUCCUACGGGAGGCAGCAGUGGGGAAUAUUGGACAAUGGGCGAAAGCCUGAUCCAGCCAUGCCGCGUGUGUGAAGAAGGUCUUCGGAUUGUAAAGCACUUUAAGUUGGGAGGAAGGGCAGUAAGUUAAUACCUUGCUGUUUUGACGUUACCAACAGAAUAAGCACCGGCUAACUUCGUG
RNAcentral lists this ribosomal RNA (484 nucleotides) under uncultured bacterium. RNAcentral's name for it is "partial 16S ribosomal RNA". It matches the Rfam family "Bacterial small subunit ribosomal RNA", at positions 28 to 507 of the family's 1533-position model. The record is from RNAcentral.